This 253-nucleotide ribosomal RNA is filed under the name uncultured bacterium. RNAcentral describes it as "partial 16S ribosomal RNA". It matches the Rfam family "Bacterial small subunit ribosomal RNA", at positions 524 to 776 of the family's 1533-position model. The record is from RNAcentral.
UACGUAGGGUGCAAGCGUUAAUCGGAAUUACUGGGCGUAAAGCGUGCGCAGGCGGUGAUGUAAGACAGAUGUGAAAUCCCCGGGCUCAACCUGGGAACUGCAUUUGUGACUGCAUCGCUGGAGUGCGGCAGAGGGGGAUGGAAUUCCGCGUGUAGCAGUGAAAUGCGUAGAUAUGCGGAGGAACACCGAUGGCGAAGGCAAUCCCCUGGGCCUGCACUGACGCUCAUGCACGAAAGCAUGGGGAGCAAACAGG